RNAcentral lists this transfer RNA (73 nucleotides) under Virgisporangium ochraceum. Its description in RNAcentral is "tRNA-Val". It matches the Rfam family "tRNA". From Rfam's summary of the family: Transfer RNA (tRNA) molecules are approximately 80 nucleotides in length. Their secondary structure includes four short double-helical elements and three loops (D, anti-codon, and T loops). Lineage: Bacteria; Bacillati; Actinomycetota; Actinomycetes; Micromonosporales; Micromonosporaceae. The record is from RNAcentral.
GCCCGUGUAGCUCAACGGAAGAGCGGCUGCCCUACAAGCAGCGGGCUGGGGGUUCGAGUCCCUCCGCGGGUAC